UAUCGUAUGGACCAUUGCUAUAUCGACCAAUUUCAACAGGUAAUCUACGAGCUGAUAUUCUGAGCUUCGUAACAGCUAAUUGACGAUGCUUAACAUUGCUAAUUUCAGAAAUAUAUUUUUCAAAUUCAAAAUUUAUUUUGAAUUUUUUUUUAUGUUCUUAACUUGCCUUGAUUUCGACCUUGUUGAUCAAAUCUGGUCUUUCCAGUAAAUUAUAUAUAGAUUAUAGUAUACUCUUUUUAAUUAAAUUAUUUUUUAUAAUAAUGGCAAAAGUUUCAUGUUACACAGUUCUAGUAAAUAUGUUGUAAAGGAUACUGGCUGUAACUGUAAGUUUAGAUCCUUUUUUCCAAACAAGACUAUCUCUUAAAUGAUUGGUUGUUGAUAGGUAUAUACACGCAAAAUGUCGCCUGUCAUUUGUAUAAUUAGAGGCAUUCUCCCUAGCUCCAAGGCCGACUUACAUUGCACAACUUUUGCCUAAAACUGUCGCAUGGAACCUGUUACAACUUGAGUUUUACUGUGUAAAUCAAGCCUACAACUCACCUAUGCGACAACUCAAGUUGUAAGCAGGUUAUAUACGCGACAGUUUUACUUUAGGGCAAAAAUUGUGUAGUGUAAGUCUGCCUAUAGGGAUUACAACGAGGACUUCAACCGUUUUGAGCGAAGGCCCUAAUUCGUCUAAAGGCCCUUAAAGGGUCUCAGCUUGAAACGGUCGAAAUUCUGGUAGUUGCAGCACAGUCUGUUCGAGAUCAUGUCAGAUUUUGGCAGCCGUAGCAAUUAAGCAGUAUUCAAAUAAACAUGACACUUGUGAUUGAUUCACACCAGUCUCUCGUGAAAGACUCGUCCUUUGCGGCAAAUUCUCACUCAACACCGAGUUGGUUUUCACUUGACAUAAUAGAGCAGGCAGCGAUUGCAAAAUAUGAACACCUGAAAAUUCAAUUAGGGAUGUACAAAAUCUGUGGGAAGGCGACACGUUUAAUAAUGAAUUCUUUGUAUUUUUAAGCAUUAAGCAUUUACCACAAAUUACCUAGCUGGAAACAUAUUGAAAUACGGUAAUUCUGGCCAUUUUGUGCUCAAAUUGGCAUUCACUUUGCGACAAUUAUACUUUUUAUUUUGGCACCGAAAAAUUUUCAGUCUAAAUAAUUUGUUUACA
This is a non-coding RNA of Paramuricea clavata, 1147 nucleotides long. Lineage: Eukaryota; Metazoa; Cnidaria; Anthozoa; Malacalcyonacea; Plexauridae. The record is from the annotation of a GenBank genome assembly.